RNAcentral lists this ribosomal RNA (773 nucleotides) under uncultured Neocallimastigales. RNAcentral describes it as "partial large subunit ribosomal RNA". It matches the Rfam family "Eukaryotic large subunit ribosomal RNA", at positions 24 to 634 of the family's 3401-position model. The record is from RNAcentral. Lineage: Eukaryota; Fungi; Neocallimastigomycota; Neocallimastigomycetes; Neocallimastigales.
UAUGUGAUCGUCUCUCGCAUAUCAAUAAGCGGAGGAAAAGAAACUAACAAGGAUUCCCUUAGUAACGGCGAGUGAAGCGGGAAGAGCUCAAAUUUGAAAUCUUCAAGGUUUUACCUUGACGAAUUGUAGUUUAAAGAAGUGUUUUCUGUUGAAGUUUUGGUAAAAGUUCUUUGGAAUAGGACAUCAUAGAGGGUGAGAAUCCCGUAUUUGACCAUUAUUUUCAGCUGUGUGAUACACUUUCAAAGAGUCGGAUUGUUUGGGAAUGCAGUCCAAAAUGGGUGGUAAAUUUCAUCUAAAGCUAAAUAUUGGCGAGAGACCGAUAGCGAACAAGUACCGUGAGGGAAAGAUGAAAAGAACUUUGAAAAGAGAGUUAAACAGUACGUGAAAUUGUCAAAAGGGAAGCGUUUGACACCAGUGUUGUUUUCUCGAAAAUCAAUUAAAAAGAGUUAGAUUUUGUUGUGUAUUGACCUUAACAGCUUGCAUUUCAAUUUUCUUGCUUUUUUAAUGCACUUUUCGUUUAACAAGUCAACAUCAGUUUCUUUUGUUGUAAAAAGGUCAUUGGAAGGUGGCUUUCUUUUCGGAGAAAGUGUUUAUAGCCUUUGACUCCUGCAAUCGGAGAGACUGAGGUCUGCAGCGUAGAUCCUUCGGGGUUAGAUACAUUUGUGCUAAGUUAUAGCUUUUUAUAGACAACUUGUUGACUAUGAUUAGUCUUGUAGCUUACUCGCUUAUGCUAUUUUACCUACGCUUAGGAUGUUGAAGAUGUAGCACAUCAU